Molecule: long non-coding RNA, 9022 nt
Filed under: Homo sapiens (human)
Lineage: Eukaryota; Metazoa; Chordata; Mammalia; Primates; Hominidae
Description: long non-coding RNA NONHSAT171279.1
Source: RNAcentral
GUUAGCCAGGAUGGUCUCGAUCUCCUGAACUCGUGAUCUGCCCACCUCAGCCUCCCAAAGUGCUGGGAUUACAGGCAUGAGCCACUGCACCCGGCCGAGAUUUCUCAAUCUUUUAAGAACUUCAUGUGGCUGAAAAGAUCAAGAAGAGACAUAAAGUCCUACUCACUCUGAACCAGCAGCACUGAGGAAACUGAUUAAGAAAUUCUAGUGUAUCGAUAGUGGAGAUCCGGAUCCAUUAGUUUGGUAGAGACUGAAAACAGCACUACUUUUAGAACUUGACCUGGAGCUCCAUGUCCCAGUGGGAGGACACUGGGAUUCCUGAUGUUGGGUGUUCUAUUCACUCAAAGCAUCAAGAGACUUGAGCUGCCUAAGUAGGGGAGUCUGUUGAUGACUUUCAGCCCUGUAUUCCUGCAGACAAUUAGGAAGAGGCUGCCAAACGGAUAUUAAUAGCUUGAUAUAAUCAUAGUAAUAUCAAUAGUGUUAUGAACAGGGGACAGAGAAAUUCUAGGCAGAAAAGGGUGGGUCCCUGGUGAAGCCUCACCCUCAAGCUGAAAAGCCUGAGACUGUGGCCCAAAGUGACAACGUAUAUCCCUUUUUUUCCACUUGAAUGUUGCCUUUUCCUAAACCACCCACGGUCUGCCCUGCUCCCCUGUCCUGUGCUUAUACAGACCCCAGAUUCAACUGGUAGAGGGGAGAAGCUGCUGGAUGUUGGCGACUGUGGUUGGACAUCGGAGAGAAGUGGCUUGACAUAAGAGGGAUAGCUUGAUGGCCUAGCUUCGGAGAGGAAUCUGGCCAGAGACAGCUGGACUUAAGGGGAAGAUGACCUUCCCAUCCCAUCCCCUUUUCAGCUCCCCUUCCUGCUGAGAGCCAUUUUCGUAGGCAAUAAAUCCCCUGCAUUUACCAUCCUUCAAUUCGUUCAUGCAACCUCAUUUUUCCUGGAUGCCAGACAAGAGCUUGGGAGCCAUGAGUGUGGAUGCAAAAGGCCCUUUGCCCUCACUGGCAGGAGGCAACCGUCUUACGUGAAAAGGCAGAGGGCCCACUGAGCUGUUAACACUUAAGCAGUCCACAGACAGCAGAGCUAAAAGCACUGUAACACUCACUCUGGGGCUUCAGGGUUUGCAGGCACCCCACUAGAUGCUGCCACAGGGCCUGCAUGGAGUUUGCUUCCGCCAGCACCCAAAAGCACUCGCCCUGGCUCCUGCACCUGCUCACCUGCACGUUCCCUCUGCUAGGGGUGGAGCACAGCGGGUCUGAGUGAGUGGAGUUCACUCCUGCCAGCGCCAAAGCCGCUGGCUGGUUCCAGCACUCAUGCACUCCUUUUCCCGCUUCAUUCACUUGCAUACUCCCUCCCACAAGGAGUUGAGAACUGCAGGCACCCCUGCUGUGAGUCCUGUGAAGGGGUCAAGGAAAUAUCCAGCUUCAAUAGGUGAUACUUAUUGAGCUCUUAGUCUGUGUGAGGUAUUGUUCUACAUGUAGAUUAUUUCGUAUUAUCUUUAUUAUUUUUGUAGGGCAGGUCCAAUUGUCUACAUUUUACACAGCCCCACAGAAAUACUUGCCCAAGACCAUAUAACAUGUUUGUGAGAGAGCCACGAUUUGAACCAGGUCUUCUGGCUCUGGCUUUGGGGUAAAUUAGGGAGUUCUGAGGAGUGUGAUUGUGAUUUUUAACUCAGUCACUUUGUAGAUCGUUCAAUACAGUGGGGUGCCACUUGAACCUUGGUAUAGCUUUCACUUUAUCUCCAUGAGUAAGAGCUGAUGCUAGCUCAAUUGUUAUGAGACCAACUCAUGCUUGAAAAAAAAUGGUCACAGGGAUGAAUGGGGCUGGAAACAUACUGAUCCCAGAGAUUUUGCAUAGUAUAUAGAGAAUCACUAAAUCAGUGAAGCAAUAAGUGGAAGGAAAUAUCUUGGUAAUAGAUUGAGAACCUUUAGAAAAUUGAUGCCUUAAGUAUUUCAAAGAAAAUAACAAAGGUCCCUUCUCUACUUGUGAAAGAAACAUUAAAGUCAGGUUUGUGACAGUUUCAACUAUGAGGUUGUGGAGGGGGUGGAGGUUGGGAUAAAUAAGACCCUCACAGUCUCAAAGAGAUUGGACCCAAGGAGUGGGUAGAAGCUAACAGAAUUUUCAAUGACCCAUCUCAGGUGAUGAAGAUUGGAAUUGGUGUGAAAGGGCCAGGCUGUACAACAGUAGCAGAAGUGAACUGCAGGGUGUGUUUGAUAAUUUAGAUAAAACACACAAUUCAUCCAACAAGUUAGGGAUGGUGUAUGGGAUGAAGGGAUGCUGUGUUGAAACCUUGAUUUGGGUUUCCUACAAGGGCACAGAUGAAAAUGUUUACCCCACAACCCUAAGGGCAUCAUCUAUAAUCUGCCCACUGUAUAAGGUGAGCCUAGUACUGACAUGGUCAUAACACCAUUCUGGAAUGGAAUGGGACCAGUGAAAGAUGAGUCACUUCCUUCCUCCUCUCUUGGUUUUCAUCUGGCCAUGAAAAGGACUGAAUAACAGGCAUCAAGUAAUUUCCAGAAUUCUGUAGUAGGUCAAAUUAUUUUAAUAGCCUGCUUUAGGGGAGAUCCAGUUUUUAACCGCUCACUAUACUUUAGCAUCAUUGAUUACAUUAGUGUUGGAAAUUCAGUCUCAAUAGCAUGGCAUUUGAUGAAAUAAUAUUUUACCAGUGUCCUUACUGGAAAUCAGAAUGCUGAAAAAAAAGAGCCUAUAUCUCACAGAACUCUAGUAUUAGUUAUGUUUUGGAAAAAAAGUAUAUAUUCAGAAAAGAAAUCAUCAGAAAAUUAUAAAAUUCCCAUCUUGAUUGACAAAAGUUUUAUGUAGUAUACACUUUAUCUGAGGAGCUCUUGCUUAGAGCAAAACUGGAACUCUUUGAGAAGCAUUUAAAAGACAACUCGAUUUGAGUCCCCUUCUGUCUCUUUUCCCAGAUUGAUACAUGUGGCCUCCUACAUUUAAAAUGAAAAGUCCUCAGACAAUCCUAAUCACAUUGUCAGUCAGAUAGUCAUCUCCUGAAAGGGGCUCCUUCACCUUUAAGGAUGCAUGUACAAUAGUGAUAUGUAAGCAGCUCAAAGACUCAAUACCCCUUUUUUCUGCAAAGCAAGGCUGGGUUAGGAAAAAAUCAAUAUGUUGGAAGUAAAGGUCAGACGAGGAAAAGUGACAUGAAACAGAACUAAGGGAACAAUAUCCUUCAUGAAGACUGUUUGAAGUUUCCUUUACCCUUGUGCUAGCUUCAGUGCAAAUAUAUUUUAUCCUAGAAUAGAAGGCUGUAUUCUUGAGGAAAAGUCAUAUUUUAAAUAUUUAUCUAUUCGGCAGCGUCCUUAUUGUAUAUUAUCCUUGUCCUAUUGACUAAUACUCAAAAAGAAUAGCACAGAGUUUAAAGUGCACAUUGCAUGUGAAUUGGAAUUGCCGGAUUUUUUUUUCUUAUACGCAAUGGGAUUCGAACACACAUAUGCAUUUGGCUACUUUUUUGAACAGUUCUCAAUUUACUUUUUCAAGUGGGCCAGAUGUACUACUAUAGCCCUUAAAAGGGUCAGGACCGUCUCCUUAUUUCCCCACUCUCUAUACUUAUUGCUUGGGUAUAGCUUUAAAGUAGCCCAUGAACCCUUUUCACUCUUGCAACACAUUUACCCACAAUUAACAAUCAAGCUGUCUUCCCUGCAUUCAGGACUCCAUUCUCCCGGGCCUCAUUUUCCCUGCCUCUCUCUUGAUCUACCAUUGUGCAGAGAGCUGUUUGUGCCAUCUCAAUCUGCCCCCCUCACCAGCCGCACAAGGACUGGGGGGGAAGAAAGCGCCCGGCAUUCAGAUGCUGAAUAGCAAAUUGCUCUUGAGUGUCCUUGCUUCCCCCAGCUCUCCCCCUUCCUCGGGAAGGACAAGGGGGGAGCUGAAAGCAACCAUACAUUUUGUUCAGUGCUCUUGAAAACAAGCGUUUCACACCUGAAGCCUUUCACAGCAGCCUAGAAGCACCCCUUCAAACCACUUAAUUGCCAAUUGCUUCAGAGCUCCUUGUAAAAGUCCAUUAUGUCAGCCAGCUCCAUGGCGGAGACAAAGUAUGCGAAAUGAAAGAGUCCUCCUUAUUCCAGGGCCAAUGCCGCAUUAAAUAUCCCCAGAUCACUGGUUUUCUUGUUGUUAACAGGGCGUGAUUGGCUCCCGUUGGAGCACUUUGAAAGCCAUGGGCCUGAUACAGGAGGAGUCUGAAUAAUCUGCGUCCAUUUUCAUGCGCGUCCGUGUGAAGAGACCACCAAACAGGCUUUGUGUGAGCAACAUGGCUGUUUAUUUCACCUGCGUGCAGGCGGGCUGAGUCCGAAAAGAGUCAGGGAAGGGAGAUAAGGGUGGGGCCGUUUUAUAGGAUUUGGGUAGGUAAAGGAAAAUGACAGUCAAAGGGGGUUUGUUCUCUGGUGGGUAGGAGUGGGGGUCUCAAGGUGCUCAGUGGGCAGGAGUGGGGGCGGCAAGGUGCUCAGUGGGGGUGCUUUUUGAGCCAGGAUGAGCCAGGAAAAGGACUUUCACAAGGUAAUGUCAUCAGUUAAGGCAAGGACCGGCCAUUUACACUUCUUUUGGGGUGGAAUGUCAUCAGUUAAGGUGGGGCAGGGCAUAUUCACUUCUUUUGUGAUUCUUUAGUUACUUCAGGCCAUCUGGGCGUAUACAUGCAGGUAACGGGAUGUGAUGGCUUGGCUUGGGCUCAGAGGCCUGACAUUCCUGCCUUCUUAAUAAGAAAAAUAAAACAAAAUAGUGUUGAAGUGUUGGGGUGGCGAAAAUUUUUGGGGGGUGGUAUGGAGAGAGAAUGGGCGAUGUUUCUCAGGGCUGCUUCAAGCGGGAUUAGGGGCGGUGUGGGAACCUAGAGUGGGAGAGAUUAAGCUGAAGGGAGAUCUUGUGGUAAGGGGUGAUACUGUGGGGUUGUUAGAAGAAACAUUUGUUGUAUAGAAUGAUUGGUGAUGGCCUGGAUACGGUUUUGUAUGAACUGAAAAACUAAAUGGAAUAAGAAGGAGAAAAACUGGUAUAAAAGGUCUAAGAAUUGGGAGGACCUAAGACAUCUGAUUAGAGAGUGCCUAAGGAGAUUCAGCAUAGUCCUGCCAGCAAAGAUUAUUUAUUUACUUCAAGAGUUCAGAGUGGCGGUUUGGGGAUAGCACGAGGAGAUAUCAGCUGUGAUGGCUUGGAUAAACAGUGUAAACCGGCAGUGUAAACAAGAGCAGGGCAUGUAUGAGUAGUUGAGAACGGAGAAGAGGAGUAUGACUAGACAGAAGAUAGUAGGGAUGACAAGUAUUUUUUGGGGCACAGUCUAAGUUGGUCUGGUGUCUGGAAUGAGACUAGGGCCUAAUAAAAAGGAGCAUCUAUACAGGAGCUUAAAUGGGCUGUACUUUGUAGCUUUCCGAGGACAGGCCUGAAAGCUUGGUGAGAUGUGUUUUUAAAAGACCUUCAGUCCAUUCUACCUUUCUUGAAAAUGGAGGACUGUAAGGGAUAUAAAGGUUUCACUGAAUACUAAGAGCCUGAAAAACUGCUUGGCUGAUUUGACUAAUAAAGGCUCAUCUGUUAUCAGACUGUAUUGAGGUGGGAAGGCUAAACUGAGGAAUUAUGUCUGACAGAACAGAAGAAAUGACUGUGGUGGCCUUCUCAGACCCUGUAGGAAAGGCCUCUACCUAUCCAGUGAAAGUGUCUACCUAGACUAAGAGGUAUUUUAGUUUUCUGACUCAGGGCAUGUUGAGUAAAGCUAAUUUGCCAGUCCUGGGUGGGGCAAAUCCUGGAGCUUGAUGUGUAGGGAAGGGAGGGGGCCUGAAUAAUCCCUGAGGAGUGGUAGAAUAGCAGAUGGAACACUGAGAAGUUAUUUCCUUGAGGAUAGAUUUCCACGAUGGAAAGGAAAUGGGAGGUUCUGAGAGGUGGGCUAGUGGCUUGUACUAUAGCAUAGCCUGCCUUUGCUGGUGUGUGGCGAUUAGGCCUGGUGGAACUGCCAUCAAUAAAUCAAGUGUGAUCAGGGUGAGGAACAGGAAAGAAGGAAAUGUGGGGAAAUGGGGUGAAUAUCAGGUGGAUCAGAGAGAUACAGUCAUGGGGGUCAGGUGUGGUAUCAGGAAUAAUGUGGGAGGCCGGAUUGAAGUCUGGGCCAGGAACAACGGUAAUUGUGGGAGACUCAACAAAGAGUGAGUACAGCUGAAGGAGCCGGGGAGCAGAAAGUAUAUGCGUUAGGUAUGAGGAAGAAAAUAGAUUUUGGAAGUUAUGAGAACUGUAGAGAGUGAGUUGAGCAUAGUUUGUGAUUUUGAGGGCCUCUAAAAGUAUUAAAUCAGCGGCAGCUGCUGCAUGCAGACGUGAGGGCUAGGCUAAAACAGUAAGGUCAAGUUGUUUGGACAGAAAGGCUACAGGGUGUGGUCCUGGCUCUUGUGUAAGAAUUCUGAACACGCUAACCAUGCCUAGGAAGGAAAGGAGUUGUUGUUUUGUAGAAAAUGCUUGGGUUUGAGAGAUCAGUCGGACACGAUUGGCAGGGAGAGCACAUGUGUUUUUAUGAGAAUUAUGCCGAGAUAGGUAACAGUUGAGGAAGAAAUUUGGGCUUGACUGAUGUAAUGGGGGCUGUCUGUGAAGCUUUGCGGCAGUACAGCCUACUGUGAGAGUUACCCGAAGCUCGGCGUCCGUGAUGGUCUAGGGGGCUUCCGAGGCGAUCGGGCAGCGUCAGUCUUCAGCAGCUAAGCCGAGAAGAUCUGGGAAGGAGUCAGUCAGAGAGCCUUGGGCCAGAGUUCCAGGGGCUCUGGGAGUGGCUGCCAGGUAAUAUACUUUGCUCUCUGUGAAGCCCUUUGACUUGAAGAAAUAGUGAUCUAAGAUAAUGUCCUGCCAUCCAGAAGAAUUGUAGGCACGGGAGAGAUUGAAAUUGGCUUGGCUGUUGCUAUUUGGUGUUGCUUGACCCUUCUGGUCUCGCAAUGACUCCCGGGGGUGAAGGAGAGCUUCCUAAAGUUCUGAAGGAGAAAAUUUAAUCAGCAAAGUAAUCAUUUCUGCUGUGAUGGAAAAAAGGAGGCCGGUAUGAAUGACAAAACAGCUGUGGACCACCAAAAAAGUCAACUGGAAUUGGAAGGAGGGAGACCUAAAAAAAAAAAUUGCUUCGAAGGCAUAGCAUUAAAGGGAAAAUGAAUCAGAAAAGAGAUCUGAAGUGCUAGAAUGCACUGCUUAAUAACUUUAAAUAGUCCAUUGAGUCUUCCGGAAUUUUUUUUGUUCUUCUUCAAGAAUAAUCUGCUUACAUCGUUAAGACCUCAGCUAAGCUCAGUAACACAAAUUACCAGAUGUUGUAUCCCCUAGUUUUUCCAUCAAAAGACCAACCACCAAGCUUGUUGAAAGAGAAAGGUCAUUGUCCCUCCCUGGCUAUAAAACUAUUUUUGCAACUCCUAACAAAUGAAAUGAGAAUACCUUUCAGCUGUAGAAGGAACCUAUCUCCCGCUCCUUCGAAGUCCCCCUGUUUGGCUUUGUUAUUUUCUAAUAACGCACUCAUGUGUAAGCUAAUAACGUGAACAGAGGGAAAAUGAAGAGACUUAAAAAAAAAAAAAAAAAGGAAAAAAGCAGAAUGAAUUAGGGCAAUUGAGGUCGCUCUGUUUCAUUUUUGCUGGAAGGAUUUUAGCCCUAGUUUUUACCUUAUCGCUUAUUACACAAUUUACGAUAAAAUGAGAUGUGAUUCCAUUCUUAUUGUUGUGCUAUAGUCUAUUGAACAUGCAUAUAUAGAAUUCAUUUCAGAUUUAAACACUAUCUUAAUUAUAAACUGAAUAAAAUGGACAACCUAUCAGGUUUUCUAAAUUGCAUUCUAACAAAUAGUUUCAUUUUUUAUCACAUUUCUACUGUUGACAUAUUGGGUAUAAUAAUGUUCAGGGAAUAUUCCCUUUUAAUGCAGUGUCUUAAUUGUGCCAAAGUAUUUCCCAUGUGACAACUAAUAGUUUAUUUCUGACUUACAAGUUUGAGAACUUUAACCGUAUGUCAUGCCUUGCAAUAUUUUUCAUGAUGAUCUGCUUAAAUAACACUAUCAGGAAUUUUUUUUUGUUUUAAAAUCACCUACAAAUGAUAUAUAUUUUGCAUAUUGAAAAGACAUCAUAAGUAUAUUACAUGUAACUUUCUAUUUUCUUUAAUAAAUAAUGUGAUUGCUUGUAUUUAGGAUUCAUUUACAGACACUUUUCCAACAAAAGACUUACGUACAUUAAGUUGAAAAUAUUGAAAGAAAUAUCUCAAUUGUGAUUAAAAAUGAAAUACCCAGUUAAUGGAAUAUAGAAUGCAAUUUUUAAAGAAAAACAUAUGUGCCAGAACCUGAAAAGUUAAGUCUUAUUUUUAUAUUUACUCACUACAAACUGUGAACGUUGCUUUAAAUGAAAAAUACGUACCUGAUUAAACAUAUAGUUUUAAAGUAGUCCUAAAUAUAGUAUAUUUAAAGUAAUCCUUCAAAGUAAUUCUGAGUUAAUAGCAUGGGUCCUAAUCCUCAGAAUGUAAUGCUAUGUAUUCUUUAAAAACGCUGAUUUGUAUUCAUAUGAUAUUUUAAAAUGUAAAAGAAUAAUCAUGCUGAGAAAAAUCUGACAUUGGAAACUGAAGACAACAUAUAAUUUUGUAAUUAAAGGUAAAUUUUUCAUAUGUGCAGCAUUUGUUGAAGAAUUUCUAACUUAAAAAUCACUUAAAUUUAAUUUUACAUGUCAAAUACAUAACUAUUUCACUGACACAGGGGAAAGAAUUUAAUUAGCACUUUAAUGUUAAUUGUUUAUUAAUGUGUUAAGCUUAUCAAACUGCCUCAUUUAACUUAAUAGAUAUUGCUAUACUUUCGUAUAUUAUUCUAAUAAAGUAUACAAUUUGGAUUUUUUUCCCUUCUUUUUCAAGUUCCCAUGCAACACCUACACGUAAACCUGGCCAACUGGUCUGUUAGAACAGAGCGGGGUGUUUCCUGAAGUUUGAACCUAAACUAUUAAAUAAAACAGUUAUCCUGCAAGACCCAAGAGCUAUUACUGCCUACUAAUGUCGUCUUGCAGAUACUUUUUUUGAACAGUACACAAGAAAGUUGAUUCAUUUCUCUCUCUCUUUGACUAUAAGUAGGGG